This 681-nucleotide unclassified non-coding RNA is filed under the name Hevea brasiliensis (rubber tree). Lineage: Eukaryota; Viridiplantae; Streptophyta; Magnoliopsida; Malpighiales; Euphorbiaceae. The record is from RNAcentral.
UUUUUCUUGACACGUCCUAUUAUUCUCGAUUUGUAAAACUUACUCAUUUCUCCAAUUUCAGAUCUGCACCUAUUCUGCUCAAAUACUGUUAUUUCACCAAUAGAAGAAAUCCAUCUUCCUUCAGAAUCUAAUUUCUGAAAUCUGUUACGUUCGGGAUCUUGGAGCUAACUGGUCCACCUAAGCAAUGACUUCUAAGAAUUGAAGGGGAAAGGGUGAAGGUGAAGCUUUUUUGAAGAUUCUAAAACUACACAAAUGAUGCGAGGGAGAUCAGAUGGAGCGCAGAAGAAGCGCUUGUUGACUUCUGUAGCUGUUGUUGCACUCUUUGUUGUUGUCCUGUAUUUUUAUUUUGGCUCUAAGAGCAACGGUGAGUCUGCUUUAGAGUAUGGAAGCCGAUCAUUGAGGAAACUGGGAUCCUCGUAUUUGGGUGGAGAUGAUGACUCUGAUCUUAGCAGCAAGCAAGAUGAGAAGUUUGGGCUGGAAGAUGGUGAAGAUGGCAUCGUUUCUAAGAGCUUCCCAGUUUGCGAUGAUCGACAUUCGGAGUUAAUUCCCUGUCUGGACAGGCAUCUCAUAUACCAAAUGAGAUUGAAGCUGGAUCUAACAUUAAUGGAGCACUAUGAAAGACAUUGUCCAUUGCCUGAAAGACGUUUCAAUUGCUUGAUUCCUCCUCCAGCUGGAUACAAG